This is a non-coding RNA of Chiloscyllium plagiosum (whitespotted bambooshark), 315 nucleotides long. The record is from RefSeq and is a predicted model, not a curated record. NCBI's taxonomy places the organism in Eukaryota, Metazoa, Chordata, Chondrichthyes, Orectolobiformes, Hemiscylliidae.
AGAGUGCUUCCUCAGGUAGCUGUGGAGCAGGGUCAUAAGACACAGAAUUUAUAGCAAAUGAUCACAGUGUCAUGCAACAGAUGGGACAUAUUAAACAAAUCUAUAUUGCAGAUUAAUCUUUCAUCUUUUAGUAUGGGUUGCACGUUUCAAUUCAUUAAUAGGUAAUCCCCCAAACUACUUUUAAUUCACCUUCUUGAGAUGAUUUAAGGUUUUAUAAAAAUAGGUGACAUCGCAGCUCAGAUACUGCACAAAAGUGUCUGUAUCCCAAUCUUGAAUCAGACUGGUUCUACUAACCAAAGCAGGAAUUUAUAAAAU